RNAcentral lists this ribosomal RNA (524 nucleotides) under uncultured bacterium. Its description in RNAcentral is "bacterial SSU rRNA". It matches the Rfam family "Bacterial small subunit ribosomal RNA", at positions 984 to 1509 of the family's 1533-position model. The record is from RNAcentral.
ACAUCCAGAGACUUAGCAGAGAUGCUUUGGUGCCUUCGGGAACUCUGAGACAGGUGCUGCAUGGCUGUCGUCAGCUCGUGUUGUGAAAUGUUGGGUUAAGUCCCGCAACGAGCGCAACCCUUAUCCUUUGUUGCCAGCGGUUCGGCCGGGAACUCAAAGGAGACUGCCGGUGAUAAACCGGAGGAAGGUGGGGAUGACGUCAAGUCAUCAUGGCCCUUACGGCCAGGGCUACACACGUGCUACAAUGGCGCAUACAAAGAGAAGCGACCUCGCGAGAGCAAGCGGACCUCAUAAAGUGCGUCGUAGUCCGGAUUGGAGUCUGCAACUCGACUCCAUGAAGUCGGAAUCGCUAGUAAUCGUAGAUCAGAAUGCUACGGUGAAUACGUUCCCGGGCCUUGUACACACCGCCCGUCACACCAUGGGAGUGGGUUGCAAAAGAAGUAGGUAGCUUAACCUUCGGGAGGGCGCUUACCACUUUGUGAUUCAUGACUGGGGUGAAGUCGUAACAAGGUAAGCGUAGCGAG